Molecule: ribosomal RNA, 253 nt
Filed under: uncultured bacterium
Lineage: Bacteria
Description: partial 16S ribosomal RNA
Rfam family: Bacterial small subunit ribosomal RNA
Source: RNAcentral
UACGGAGGGGGCUAGCGUUGUUCGGAAUUACUGGGCGUAAAGCGCGCGUAGGCGGACCUGCAAGUCAGGGGUGAAAUCCCGGGGCUCAACCUCGGAACUGCCUUUGAUACUGCAAAUCUCGAGUCCGGAAGAGGUGAGUGGAAUUCCUAGUGUAGAGGUGAAAUUCGUAGAUAUUAGGAAGAACACCAGUGGCGAAGGCGGCUCACUGGUCCGGUACUGACGCUGAGGUGCGAAAGCGUGGGGAGCAAACAGG